UAUGCAUGUACAACUCGUGUGAAGCGGCGAAGAUGGAAAUUGCACAGAAAAAACUGGAGGCGCUGCAUGCUGGCAUUGAAUUCGUCGAGACAGGAAUGGAGUGCAUAUUCAGGCGCUUGAUUAGAACGAGGGCAUCUCUCCUAAAUAUCAUUUCCCACUUAUGAUGCUGUAGAUCUUUGGUUCUUUGGUCCAGCAGCAUGAGCGUCCAAGUUUUAC
This 216-nucleotide long non-coding RNA is filed under the name Panax ginseng (ginseng). RNAcentral describes it as "long non-coding RNA (PGIN_LNC007481)". The record is from RNAcentral. Lineage: Eukaryota; Viridiplantae; Streptophyta; Magnoliopsida; Apiales; Araliaceae.